AGUGAACGCUGGCGGUAGGCCUAACACAUGCAAGUCGAACGGCAGCACAGUAAGAGCUUGCUCUUACGGGUGGCGAGUGGCGGACGGGUGAGGAAUACAUCGGAAUCUACUUUUUCGUGGGGGAUAACGUAGGGAAACUUACGCUAAUACCGCAUACGACCUACGGGUGAAAGCAGGGGAUCUUCGGACCUUGCGCGAUUGAAUGAGCCGAUGUCGGAUUAGCUAGUUGGCGGGGUAAAGGCCCACCAAGGCGACGAUCCGAAGCUGGUCUGAGAGGAUGAUCAGCCACACUGGAACUGAGAAACGGUCCAGACUCCUACGGUAGGCAGCGGUGGGGAAUAUUGGACAAUGGGCGCAAGCCUGAUCCAGCCAUACCGCGUGGGUGAAGAAGGACUUCGGGUUGUAAAGCCCUUUUGUUGGGAAAGAAAAGCAGCAGGUUAAUACCCCGCUGUUCUGACGGUACCCAAAGAAUAAGCACCGGCUAACUUCGUG
This 492-nucleotide ribosomal RNA is filed under the name uncultured bacterium. Its description in RNAcentral is "partial 16S ribosomal RNA". It matches the Rfam family "Bacterial small subunit ribosomal RNA", at positions 29 to 507 of the family's 1533-position model. The record is from RNAcentral.